AUUGAACGCUAGCGGCAUGCCUAACACAUGCAAGUCGAGCGGCAGCGCGUCCGACCACCCUCGGGUGGUCGGAUGGCGGCGAGCGGCGGACGGGUGAGGAAUGCAUCGGAAUCUGCCUCGUUGUGGGGGGAUAACGUAGGGAAACUUACGCUAAUACCGCAUACGACCUACGGGUGAAAGUGGGGGACCUUCGGGCCUCACGCGAUGAGAUGAGCCGAUGCCGGAUUAGCUAGUUGGCGGGGUAAAGGCCCACCAAGGCGACGAUCCGUAGCUGGUCUGAGAGGAUGAUCAGCCACACUGGAACUGAGACACGGUCCAGACUCCUACGGGAGGCAGCAGUGGGGAAUAUUGGACAAUGGGGGGCAACCCUGAUCCAGCCAUGCCGCGUGUGUGAAGAAGGCCU
This 403-nucleotide ribosomal RNA is filed under the name uncultured bacterium. RNAcentral's name for it is "bacterial SSU rRNA". It matches the Rfam family "Bacterial small subunit ribosomal RNA", at positions 28 to 417 of the family's 1533-position model. The record is from RNAcentral.